ACGCACGCUGGCGGCAUGCCUAACCCCUGCCAGUCGCACGAGACCUUCGGGUCUAGUGGCGCACGGGUGCGUAACGCGUGGGAACCUGCCCUUAGGUUCGGAAUAACUCCCCGAAAGGGGUGCUAAUACCGGAUAAUGUCUUCGGACCAAAGAUUUAUCGCCUUUGGAUGGGCCCGCGUUGGAUUAGCUAGUUGGUAGGGUAAAAGCCUACCAAGGCGACGAUCCAUAGCUGGUCUGAGAGGAUGAUCAGCCACACUGGGACUGAGACACGGCCCAGACUCCUACGGGAAGCAGCAGUGGGGAAUAUUGGACAAUGGGCGAAAGCCUGAUCCAGCAAUGCCGCGUGAGUGAUGAAGGCCUUAGGGUUGUAAAGCUCUUUUACCCGGGAUGAUAAUGACAGUACCGGGAGAAUAAGCUCCGGCUAACUCCGUG
This 432-nucleotide ribosomal RNA is filed under the name uncultured bacterium. Its description in RNAcentral is "partial 16S ribosomal RNA". It matches the Rfam family "Bacterial small subunit ribosomal RNA", at positions 29 to 507 of the family's 1533-position model. The record is from RNAcentral.